AGUGAACGCUGGCGGUAGGCCUAACACAUGCAAGUCGAACGGCAGCACAGGGGAGCUUGCUCUCUGGGUGGCGAGUGGCGGACGGGUGAGGAAUACAUCGGAAUCUACUCUGUCGUGGGGGAUAACGUAGGGAAACUUACGCUAAUACCGCAUACGACCUACGGGUGAAAGCAUGGGACCUUCGGGCCUUGCGCGAUUGAAUGAGCCGAUGUCGGAUUAGCUAGUUGGCGGGGUAAAGGCCCACCAAGGCGACGAUCCGUAGCUGGUCUGAGAGGAUGAUCAGCCACACUGGAACUGAGACACGGUCCAGACUCCUACGGGAGGCAGCAGUGGGGGAUAUUGGACAAUGGGCGCAAGCCUGAUCCAGCCAUACCGCGUGGGUGAAGAAGGCCUUCGGGUUGUAAAGCCCUUUUGUUGGGAAAGAAAUCCAGCUGGCUAAUACCCGGUUGGGAUGACGGUACCCAAAGAAUAAGCACCGGCUAACUUCGUGCCAGCCGCCGCCGUAA
This 506-nucleotide ribosomal RNA is filed under the name uncultured bacterium. Its description in RNAcentral is "partial 16S ribosomal RNA". It matches the Rfam family "Bacterial small subunit ribosomal RNA", at positions 29 to 523 of the family's 1533-position model. The record is from RNAcentral.